UACAGAGGUCCCAAGCGUUGUUCGGAUUCAUUGGGCGUAAAGGGUGCGUAGGUGGCGCCGUAAGUCAGGUGUGAAAUCUCGGGGCUUAACUCCGAAACUGCAUUUGAUACUGCGGUGCUUGAGGACUUGGAGAGGAGACGUGGAAUUUACGGUGUAGCAGUGAAAUGCGUAGAGAUCGUAGGGAAGACCAGUGGCGAAGGCGGGUCUCUGGACAGUUCCUGACACUGAGGCACGAAGGCCAGGGGAGCAAACGGG
Molecule: ribosomal RNA, 255 nt
Filed under: uncultured bacterium
Lineage: Bacteria
Description: partial 16S ribosomal RNA
Rfam family: Bacterial small subunit ribosomal RNA
Source: RNAcentral